This 27-nucleotide non-coding RNA is filed under the name Rattus norvegicus (Norway rat). Lineage: Eukaryota; Metazoa; Chordata; Mammalia; Rodentia; Muridae. The record is from RNAcentral.
UGGACUCUUGCUCUUUCUCCUGUAGCU